GACCCGGUAGCUUAACGGAAAAGUCGCGUUGCAACAUAAAACAAGGAGAGCAGGUUACAGGUUCGAAUCCUGUCCGGGUCA
RNAcentral lists this transfer RNA (81 nucleotides) under Inoviridae sp. RNAcentral describes it as "tRNA-OTHER". It matches the Rfam family "tRNA". Rfam says of the family: Transfer RNA (tRNA) molecules are approximately 80 nucleotides in length. Lineage: Floreoviria; Loebvirae; Hofneiviricota; Faserviricetes; Tubulavirales; Inoviridae. The record is from RNAcentral.